AUUGAACGCUGGCGGUAGGCUUAACACAUGCAAGUCGAGCGGAAACGAAGAAUAGCUUGCUAUUCUGGCGUCGAGCGGCGGACGGGUGAGUAAUGCUUGGGAAUCUGCCUAGUCGAGGGGGACAACAGUUGGAAACGACUGCUAAUACCGCAUACGACCUACGGGUGAAAGGGGGCCUCUUCUUGAAAGCUCUCGCGACUAGAUGAGCCCAAGUGGGAUUAGCUUGUUGGUGAGGUAAGAGCUCACCAAGGCGACGAUCCCUAGCUGGUCUGAGAGGAUGAUCAGCCACACUGGAACUGAGACACGGUCCAG
This 312-nucleotide ribosomal RNA is filed under the name uncultured Moritella sp. Its description in RNAcentral is "bacterial SSU rRNA". It matches the Rfam family "Bacterial small subunit ribosomal RNA", at positions 30 to 334 of the family's 1533-position model. Lineage: Bacteria; Pseudomonadati; Pseudomonadota; Gammaproteobacteria; Alteromonadales; Moritellaceae. The record is from RNAcentral.